Molecule: long non-coding RNA, 543 nt
Filed under: Populus tremula
Lineage: Eukaryota; Viridiplantae; Streptophyta; Magnoliopsida; Malpighiales; Salicaceae
Description: long non-coding RNA (PTRE_LNC000730)
Source: RNAcentral
GGGAAUGACUGGUUUAUUCAAUGAAACAAGCUUUGGCUAUUAAAUAGCCUUUACAAUCCUAACAACCUACAUCUUAGCUAAUUGAGACGUGAUAAUCAACAGAAGAAAGAGUCAAAUAACAAAUGACUUCCCUAUUCAACAGGGAUUAUUCAAAACAGAAAAUAUAACUUCAACUGAAACACUUGUUAACUCAACAAAUGGUAAGAACAUUUCCUAAACCCUCAACUUUAUCAAUUCAACAGCACUUUCCUAAAACCAAUAUUCAAAGUCGCGUUGAGUUUGCCAAAAGGGUUUCCUGGGAUAGCACUUUCUAGAUUUGAGAUCGAAAAAAAAAUUGUUAUAUGUGUUCUUAAGUUUCGAGCAAGCGAGAGGGAAAAGAAGGCUUUUGAAUUCCAGGUGAGCGAGAGAAAAUUUGCACAGGAGAAGAACACAAGAAAAUAGAAAAUCAGAGAAAGCAAAUGAUCCGUUGAUUUCCUUUUCAUUUCUUCAUUUUAGAUAGAGAAACAAAAGCGAGAAAGAGAGUCUCGAGUGGUCGGGAGGAAG